UGUUUUCUUCUUUUUCUUUUUGUAGAUUGAUCACUCGAUAGUGGAGAGUUAUGGUGGAGGAGGCAGAACAUGUAUAACCUCAAGAGUGUAUCCAAAAUUGGCAAUCGGAGAAAAUGCAAAUCUGUUUGUCUUCAACAAAGGCACUCAAAGUGUUGAUAUCUUGACCCUAAGUGCUUGGAGUUUAAAGUCUGCUCAAAUCAAUGGCGACUUAAUGUCACCAUUUAUUGAGCGUGAAGAGUCACGCUCACCUAAUCAUCAGUUUUGAAUGAAAAAUAUUUUACAUUGUACGGGUAAAACGAAAUAUAUAAGAGAUUAUUACAUAUUAAGAGAUAUUAAC
Molecule: small RNA, 337 nt
Filed under: Arabidopsis thaliana (thale cress)
Lineage: Eukaryota; Viridiplantae; Streptophyta; Magnoliopsida; Brassicales; Brassicaceae
Description: ATSL055710
Source: RNAcentral